Molecule: transfer RNA, 60 nt
Filed under: uncultured Halorhodospira sp.
Lineage: Bacteria; Pseudomonadati; Pseudomonadota; Gammaproteobacteria; Chromatiales; Ectothiorhodospiraceae
Also listed under: 1 other name
Rfam family: tRNA
About the family: Transfer RNA (tRNA) molecules are approximately 80 nucleotides in length. Their secondary structure includes four short double-helical elements and three loops (D, anti-codon, and T loops).
Source: RNAcentral
GGUAGCUCAGCGGUAGAGCAACUGACUGUUAAUCAGUAGGUCGGCGGUUCGAAUCCGUCC